GUUUCACAUUCGGAACUAUUGGACGAUAGUGUUUAGUAUAAAGAGUUCCAAAAUUUCAAGAACAUUUGAAUAUACAUACUUAAGUUUACUGAAACCAGAACCGAAGCGUCUCACCCGAUAUGUCUGUGGUAAGUUGUAAAAGUGUGUGUGUGUUUCUGAAGUGUCACAUCGAGCUAUCUGCUGUGUUCAACGAGAGGAAUCUAACCCAAUAUUUCUGUGGUCAAUCGACUUGGCUGUUUUAAAGUUCCCGCUACCUCAGUCACUGAACUGGAAAAAGUGAUCCUCAACAAAUCGUAUGUAACAUCAAAACUCAAUUAUUCAAGUACAGUUUAGAAGAAGACAGGGCAGUGAAAAAAAUAUUGAAAUAUG
This is a long non-coding RNA of Limulus polyphemus (Atlantic horseshoe crab), 369 nucleotides long. RefSeq lists it as uncharacterized. The transcript has 3 exons. The record is from RefSeq and is a predicted model, not a curated record. Lineage: Eukaryota; Metazoa; Arthropoda; Merostomata; Xiphosura; Limulidae.